UACAGAGGUGGCAAGCGUUGUUCGGAAUUACUGGGCGUAAAGGGCGCGUAGGCGGCCUUGUAAGUCCUGUGUGAAAUCCCCCGGCUCAACUGGGGAACUGCACAGGAGACUGCUUGGCUUGAGUUCGGGAGAGGGAAGCGGAAUUCCGGGUGUAGCGGUGAAAUGCGUAGAGAUCGGCAGGAACACCCAGGGGGAAACCAGUCGACUGGGCAUCUACUGACGCUGAUGUGCGAGAGCGUGGGGAGCGAACCGG
This 253-nucleotide ribosomal RNA is filed under the name uncultured bacterium. Its description in RNAcentral is "partial 16S ribosomal RNA". It matches the Rfam family "Bacterial small subunit ribosomal RNA", at positions 524 to 776 of the family's 1533-position model. The record is from RNAcentral.